Molecule: ribosomal RNA, 300 nt
Filed under: uncultured bacterium
Lineage: Bacteria
Description: bacterial SSU rRNA
Rfam family: Bacterial small subunit ribosomal RNA
Source: RNAcentral
CGCGUGAGAAUUUACCCUUAGGAGGGGAAUAACAGUUAGAAAUGACUGCUAAUGCCCCAUAACAUUAAUAAUAAUAAUGAAAGAGAUAAUACCUCGCCUAAGGAAAAGCUCGCGUCUGAUUAGCUAGUUGGUAGGGUAAAGGCCUACCAAGGCGACGAUCAGUAGCUGGUUUGAGAGGAUGAUCAGCCACACUGGAACUGAGACACGGUCCAGACUCCUACGGGAGGCAGCAGUGGGGAAUUUUCUGCAAUGGGCGAAAGCCUGACAGAGCAAUACCGCGUGAGGGAAUAAAGAAAGCCC